UACAGAGGGGGCAAGCGUUGUUCGGAAUUACUGGGCGUAAAGGGCGCGUAGGUGGCCUUCUAAGUUGAACGUGAAAUCCCUGGGCUCAACCCAGGAACUGCGUCCAAGACUGGGAGGCUUGAAUCCGGGAGAGGGAUGCGGAAUUCCAGGUGUAGCGGUGAAAUGCGUAGAUAUCAAGAGGAACACCGGUGGCGAAGGCGGCAUCCUGGACCAACACUGACACUGAUGAGCGAAAGCCAGGGGAGCAAACGGG
RNAcentral lists this ribosomal RNA (253 nucleotides) under uncultured bacterium. RNAcentral describes it as "partial 16S ribosomal RNA". It matches the Rfam family "Bacterial small subunit ribosomal RNA", at positions 524 to 776 of the family's 1533-position model. The record is from RNAcentral.